Non-coding RNA from Mycena epipterygia, 98 nucleotides. The record is from the annotation of a GenBank genome assembly. Lineage: Eukaryota; Fungi; Basidiomycota; Agaricomycetes; Agaricales; Mycenaceae.
GGCCUGGUGGUGGAAUGGUUGACACGUCUGCUACUUGUGUUGAAAUGGAAAAAAAGGGUUUCGGCAGAAGAUUCCUUGUUCGAAUCAAGGCCAGGCCG